Anolis carolinensis (green anole) is the source of this 1188-nucleotide long non-coding RNA. RefSeq lists it as uncharacterized. Lineage: Eukaryota; Metazoa; Chordata; Lepidosauria; Squamata; Anolidae. The record is from RefSeq and is a predicted model, not a curated record. The transcript has 2 exons.
UGUGCCAUUUGCAAGAUCUACUCAGAAGAGAUUUGCCAUUGACUGAGGCUGAGAGCAUGUGACCUAGCUAAUAGAUACUAGUGGGUAUCCAUGGCUGGGUGGAAAUUUGAACCUUGGUCUCCAGGAGUCCUUGUUGGUGGAUAUAUUUGUGGAAAGUCCAGAGAAGAAAUGUUCUGGACUGCCCCAGAAAAUGAUCAUCACUUUGAAUGCGAUUUUCCUGCUUCUUGGCAGGGGGUUGGACUGGAUGGCACACAAGGUCUCUUCUAGCUCUAAGAUUCUAGGAUUCUACAUGCUCUCUGCCCAACUGACUGUAGUGACAGUAGUGACUGUAGCAACCCAACUAGGCUGAUGCUACUCUAACUCCACCUUCUGUCGCUGCCACCUCUCCCUCAUAAUCACAGAGUUCUAUGUAAGUUCCUGGCCAUUGUGGAUGACACAUUUUGACAUCACCGGGUCGUGUAGGUGCCUUUGUUGAUGUCAGAAUGGGGAGUGGCAACCUGAGAAUGGCAACAGCAAAAACACAAGAAUGAUCCAUCCUCUUUCCCAGUGCAGAUGAGUGCAGGGAAAAGGAGAUUGCAAUUGUGUCUUAUGCAGACAUCAGACUUGUCCAAAUUGGACCUGAUCCAGCAGUCUACACUGUCCUAAAGCUAUGGGAUACUCCAGAGUUUUAAGCAAACUCUAGAACAUCCCCCUACUCUGCCGGGGACGGGGCAGCCUGCAAUAUUUACUAAAAGUAGCAGAACAUCAUGAAGACUGCCAGGAUCCAAUUUAGGGCCUGUGAUCAGCUUCCUGGUGCCACUCUUUGAGAGUUCUGCAUAUGAGAACUGCACAGAAAUCAGAUCCAGCGUUCACCUUCAUAGCAAAGCACCUGCAGGCAGAGUCAUACCUGGUGGACUUCCCUCUGUUCCAUAUAAUUCAUAAUGGAGAUGUGUGAAGCAGCCAAUCCAUGUUCAAGGAGACUGUGAAGGGGCCCUGCAGGGAAACAGAAUGUAUCAAAAGACAGAGACUUGCCUCUAAACCAUAUAGUUUUGAACUGGCACCGACUGAGUUGGAAGUUAACAUAGACAGAGCCUUCCGUUUAUAAAGACAAGGAUUGGGGAUGAAAUAGAGAGAUUUGGAUUUGAGAAAGAAUGGAGAACUACCUAUGGUUUUGUGGAAUAUUUAAUAAACCUAUCCUUGUUCAUUUAA